Molecule: small RNA, 440 nt
Filed under: Pan troglodytes (chimpanzee)
Lineage: Eukaryota; Metazoa; Chordata; Mammalia; Primates; Hominidae
Description: processed transcript
Source: RNAcentral
GUCCCUGCGUCCCUAAUGGCUUCUCUCUGGUCUCAUUCAGCCAACAGGGCUCUCCCUGAUGACCUGCAGCAGGGCCGGUUGCUGGUUGUGGACUAUGCCACCUGCUCCAGCUCUGGCUGGUGGGGCAGCACCGUGAAGACGAAUAUGAUCUGUGCUGGGGGUGAUGGUGUGAUAUGCACCUGCAACGGAGACUCCGGUGGGCCGCUGAACUGUCAGGCAUCUGACGGCCGGUGGGAGGUGCAUGGCAUCGGCAGCCUCACGUCGGUCCUUGGCUGCAACUACUACUACAAGCCCUCCAUCUUCACGCGGGUCUCCAACUACAACGACUGGAUCAAUUCGGUGAUUGCAAAUAACUAACCAAAAGAAGUCCCUGGGACUGUUUCAGACUUGGAAAGGUCACAGAAGGAAAAUAAUAUUAUAUAAAGUGACAACUAUGCAAA